This 376-nucleotide unclassified non-coding RNA is filed under the name uncultured Pseudobdellovibrionaceae bacterium. RNAcentral's name for it is "uncultured Bdellovibrionaceae bacterium contains 16S-23S intergenic spacer region". The record is from RNAcentral. Lineage: Bacteria; Pseudomonadati; Bdellovibrionota; Bdellovibrionia; Bdellovibrionales; Pseudobdellovibrionaceae.
UCCGGUUUGUCACCGGCAGUCCCAUUAGAGUGCUCAACUGAAUGUAGCAACUAAUGGCAAGGGUUGCGCUCGUUGCGGGACUUAACCCAACAUCUCACGACACGAGCUGACGACAGCCAUGCAGCACCUGUGAACCGGCCCUUGCGGGCGAGGACAUCUCUGCCACUCUUCCAGUUCAUGUCAAGUCCGGGUAAGGUUCUUCGCGUUGCAUCGAAUUAAACCACAUGCUCCACCGCUUGUGCGGGCCCCCGUCAAUUUCUUUGAGUUUUAAUCUUGCGACCGUACUCCCCAGGCGGGAUACUUAACGCGUUAGCUACGUCACUAGAGGGGUCAAUACCUCUAACAACAAGUAUCCAUCGUUUACGGCAUGGACUAC